Molecule: ribosomal RNA, 449 nt
Filed under: Klebsiella pneumoniae
Lineage: Bacteria; Pseudomonadati; Pseudomonadota; Gammaproteobacteria; Enterobacterales; Enterobacteriaceae
Description: partial 23S ribosomal RNA
Rfam family: Bacterial large subunit ribosomal RNA
Source: RNAcentral
AGGGCGGGACACGUGGUAUCCUGUCUGAAUAUGGGGGGACCAUCCUCCAAGGCUAAAUACUCCUGACUGACCGAUAGUGAACCAGUACCGUGAGGGAAAGGCGAAAAGAACCCCGGCGAGGGGAGUGAAAAAGAACCUGAAACCGUGUACGUACAAGCAGUGGGAGCACCUUCGGGUGUGACUGCGUACCUUUUGUAUAAUGGGUCAGCGACUUAUAUUCUGUAGCAAGGUUAACCGUAUAGGGGAGCCGCAGGGAAACCGAGUCUUAACUGGGCGUUAAGUUGCAGGGUAUAGACCCGAAACCCGGUGAUCUAGCCAUGGGCAGGUUGAAGGUUGGGUAACACUAACUGGAGGACCGAACCGACUAAUGUUGAAAAAUUAGCGGAUGACUUGUGGCUGGGGGUGAAAGGCCAAUCAAACCGGGAGAUAGCUGGUUCUCCCCGAAAGCU